Prolemur simus (greater bamboo lemur) is the source of this 136-nucleotide ribosomal RNA. NCBI's taxonomy places the organism in Eukaryota, Metazoa, Chordata, Mammalia, Primates, Lemuridae. The record is from Ensembl.
AUCUAUGGCCAUACCACCCUGAAUGCUCCCGAUCUCAUCUGAUCUUGGAAGCUAAGCAGGGCUGGGUCUUAUUAGUACUUGGAUGGGAGAAACAGGAAUGUCUUUUCAGAUUCAGGGAAUAUGACAAUCAUGGGGG